GCAGAGAACUUUCCAGAGAUGGAUUGGUGGCCUUCGGGAACUCUGACACAGGUGCUGCAUGGCUGUCGUCAGCCCGUGUCGUGAGAUGUUGGGUUAAGUCCGUAACGAGCGCAACCCUUGUCCUUAGUUACCAGCACGUUAUGGUGGGCACUCUAAGGAGACUGCCGGUGACAAACCGGAGGAAGGUGGGGAUGACGUCAAGUCAUCAUGGCCCUUACGGCCUGGGCUACACACGUGCUACAAUGGUCGGUACAAAGGGUUGCCAAGCCGCGAGGUGGAGCUAAUCCCAUAAAACCGAUCGUAGUCCGGAUCGCAGUCUGCAACUCGACUGCGUGAAGUCGGAAUCGCUAGUAAUCGUGAAUCAGAAUGUCACGGUGAAUACGUUCCCGGGCCUU
Molecule: ribosomal RNA, 395 nt
Filed under: uncultured Pseudomonas sp.
Lineage: Bacteria; Pseudomonadati; Pseudomonadota; Gammaproteobacteria; Pseudomonadales; Pseudomonadaceae
Description: bacterial SSU rRNA
Rfam family: Bacterial small subunit ribosomal RNA
Source: RNAcentral